AUUGAACGCUGGCGGAAUGCUUUACACAUGCAAGUCGAGCGGCAGCGCGGGGGCAACCCUGGCGGCGAGCGGCGAACGGGUGAGUAAUACAUCGGAACGUGUCCUUGAGUGGGGGAUAGCUCGGCGAAAGCCGGAUUAAUACCGCAUAAGCUCUGCGGAGGAAAGCGGGGGACUGGUAACGGCCUCGCGCUGUUGGAGCGGCCGAUGUCGGAUUAGCUAGUUGGUGGGGAAAGGCCCACCAAGGCGACGAUCCGUAGCUGGUCUGAGAGGAUGAUCAGCCACACUGGAACUGAGACACGGUCCAGACUCCUACGGGAGGCAGCAGUGGGGAAUUUGGACAAUGGGGCAACCCUGAUCCAGCCAUUCCGCGUGAGUGAAGAAGGCCUGGUGUAAG
Molecule: ribosomal RNA, 394 nt
Filed under: uncultured bacterium
Lineage: Bacteria
Description: bacterial SSU rRNA
Rfam family: Bacterial small subunit ribosomal RNA
Source: RNAcentral